Rhodamnia argentea is the source of this 1823-nucleotide RNA transcript. It is a transcript of the gene named probable protein S-acyltransferase 16, with no coding region annotated. Lineage: Eukaryota; Viridiplantae; Streptophyta; Magnoliopsida; Myrtales; Myrtaceae. The record is from RefSeq and is a predicted model, not a curated record. The transcript is spliced from 7 exons.
AAAAGAUAAUAAUAAACACAACUGGACGAAAGCUCAAGCAAUGGCGAAGCAAUUGUAUUUGAUAAUUCGUCGAGUUGCUUCGUCGAUGGAGAGUCCUCUUCCUGCUGUUGAUCGACAAAUUACUUGGAGAGAUGAUUUCGAGCGACCAUUGAAAGCUCAGGAGAUUUGCGUAGAAAAGAAAUUACUGCUGCUGUUGUUGGGACGAAAGGGGAGUGAAUGAAAAUCUUCCUCCACCUUCUUCUUCCAUCAUCUUGAUCCGUGAAUCGAAGCAGAGACCGUCGGACUUUCGUCUUUCCCAUUUCUUUCCCAAAUCCCAUCGUCGCAGGUGGUCGAAGUGGGGGGCAUCUCGCGCCCAGACCCAGAAGCACCGGAGUCCCUCUAGUAGAUUCGAGAGCCACCCCACCAAGCGUCGCCCCCCACAUCACACCCACCCACCUCUCAAGCUCACUCCUUUCGUCUGCGGGGACGCCGUCGUCUCGCCGUCGGUGGCGCCUCCGGGAGGACGCAGUGCGCGUUUCUCUUGGUCGCGAUAGAGACACAGAUGAAGCGGCGAGGCGGGAUCGGCUCCUCCGUCCCCGUGACCGUCGUCGUCCUCGCGAUCGGCUUCAUCUACUUCUCCACCGUCUUCGUCUUCAUCGACCGCUGGUUCGGCCUCGCCUCCUCGCCGGGCCUCAUGAACGCGGCCGCCUUCACUGCCGUCGCCCUCAUGUGCGUCUUCAACUACGUCGCUUCCGUCUUCACCGACCCGGGUCGGGUCCCUCCGACCUUCGUGCCCGACGUCGAGGAUGCCGAGACCCCGAUCCACGAGAUCAAGCGCAAGGGUGGAGACUUGAGAUAUUGCCAAAAGUGUUCCCUUUAUAAGCCUCCACGUGCACAUCAUUGUCGAGUUUGCAAAAGAUGUGUUCUGCGAAUGGAUCACCACUGCAUUUGGAUAAACAAUUGUGUUGGCAACGCAAACUACAAGGUCUUCUUUGUAUUUGUGGUCUAUGCGGUAACAGCAUGCAUCUAUUCACUGGUCUUGCUUCUGGGUAGUUUGAUCAAUGAACCUGAAAAGGAUGAACAGGAAAAUGAAGACUCCUCCCGAACGAUAUAUGUUGUUUCGGCGCUGUUGCUUGUACCUCUGUGCAUUGCAUUAAGUGUCCUAUUGGGUUGGCACAUCUACCUUAUUUUGCAUAACAAGACCACAAUUGAGCUCUUAUUCUUUUUCGACAGUAUCAUGAAGGUGUGAGAGCAAUGUGGUUGGCAGAGAAGGGAGGGAGUGUCUAUAAUCAUCCAUAUGAUCUUGGUGCCUACGAAAAUUUGACAACGGUGCUGGGUCCAAAUAUAUUAAGCUGGGUAUGCCCCACGUCUACACACAUCGGUUCCGGUCUUCGCUUCCGCACCUCAUAUGAUGAUUUGGCUGCUCUACCCAAUUCAUAGCCUCUUUUGCGUUGUCAGAAAUCAGUCUCGGGUAAUAUCACAUUCUUUUAACUCACUAAUCGGAGAGCGCUCUCCAUUCGAUUAAGAGGGUCCUAGACUGUUCGCUCCCAUGGCAUUGCAUUCGGGAAUUUCCACGACAAGUUGCUUUCUAGAAUGCCGAAGCUUUUGGCUGCGAGGUUCUUGGGAGGUGCUGAUGCAGCCCUCAAGAUGUGAAAGGGGCGGUGCAGUCUUUGUAAGAUUUGGGUGGAGGGGGGAGUUUGGUCUUUCUACUUGAUUUGUUGUGUCAUAGGUUGUCCUUGAUGUGCGUGCGGAUGGUAUAGAGCUCACACGGUUGUAUGAAAUUCGGCUCACAAUUGUACAAAAAGGAAGGUGUAUAAAAAGGAUCAUUAGAAUUGCUUUUGUAC